GGCACAGUGGUGCAGUGGGUAGCACUGUUGCCUCACAGCAAGAAGGGUUCAAAUCUGGCCUGGGCCU
Molecule: transfer RNA, 67 nt
Filed under: Anguilla anguilla (European eel)
Lineage: Eukaryota; Metazoa; Chordata; Actinopteri; Anguilliformes; Anguillidae
Description: tRNA-OTHER
Source: RNAcentral